This 2372-nucleotide long non-coding RNA is filed under the name Eucalyptus grandis. RNAcentral's name for it is "long non-coding RNA (EGRA_LNC004941)". The record is from RNAcentral. Lineage: Eukaryota; Viridiplantae; Streptophyta; Magnoliopsida; Myrtales; Myrtaceae.
CCACACUUUCAUUAACAGCACAACUCAUAGUAUAUUUACAAUACUAUUUACAACAUAAAAGUCUCACACCUAUCUACACUAAGACAGGGUGCACAAAAGGGAUGGGAUCUCAAUCCACAUCUGGGUUGUAUUCAAGAUCCCUCUCUGGAUCAUCUUCUACUUCAAAAUACUUUCUCCCCUUCAGGUUCCUCUUCCUUAGCUUCUCCUCAGGUUCCUGAAAUGGUUAUUCAAUAACCAAUGAGACCACGUCUCAGCGAGUCCUACCCCCUACGACUCGAUUAGUAAACUAAUACACCAUACGGUUGCCUAAGCACAACACGAGUCAGAGGACUUACCUUAGCCUCAGUUCCAACCUGCAAUUCAAGGUUAAACACAUACAUUCAAACAAUUCACGACAUCCGAUCAAGCACUGGUCAAUCGACUAAGUCGAUUACAUGUCAAUUAGACCCUCUCUAGGUCAUUCCCACUCAUACCACGCUUUCUCAGUGGUGUACUCAUUCACCAAAUCACAUGUGUUUCUCGGGCGUCGUUUUCGCCAAUGACAUACCGAUCACCGACACCGUGCGUUCUUUAAGGCGCCGUUUUCACCAGUGAUAACCUUGAUCACCGAACCACGUGUCCUUUCAAGGGCGUCGUUUUCGCCAAGGUGACAUCGGCUAUAGACAACAUCGUGCGUUCUUUAAGGCGCCGUUUUCACCAGUGAUAUUCCCAUAAUCACCGAACCACGUUUGUCUAUAAGUCAUUUACGUGCGUUCUUUAAGGCACCGUUUUCGCCAGUGAUACUUCCAAUCACCGAACCACGUAUGUCCAAUAAUAUCGUACCUGAUUGGUCUCACCAUUCUCCCUACUAUAUAGCCCAUAAACGUACUGGCGCUAUAUACUCAUGCUCGGCCAUUACCAAUCAAAUACUCAAUAACAAACAAUUUGGGACAAUUCCUCAAAUUUCACAAUUUAAAUCAAUUCCAUAAAAAUUGAAGCUCAAUUAAAUAAACGGACUGCACCACGACAAUCGGCACGAAAUUCCGGUCACCGGCCAUCCCGGUUGAAUUUCCGGAAAAGUAAUUAAUUAAAUAAAUAAAUUUCGAAAAUAAAUAAAUAAACAUUGAAAAUCCAAUUUAGGCCCAUAUUGCCUUAUUGGAGCCCGAAACGGGUCGGGAAAAAUCCCGAGAUACAUUCAAUAAAUAACCAAACAUUUCUACUUGCUAAUAGCUAGGUCUAACCACCUAACAUGCAUCAUUAAGUCACUAAACUAAUUGUUCUAACUUAAUCUAACCACCUAAGUGCAUGUAAUUAAAUCUAACCAACCCUAAGGCAUAAUUAGCAAACUAAUAAAGCUUUAGUGAGUAAAACUCACUUGAUCAAAAGUGGGGAUCGAAUCACCGCAACGGCGACACGACGGCGGCCGAAAUCGGACUUUCGACGACACCGGCGGACUUGGACCGGGCCUUAAGCUUAGGCCCAACAAAUCUCAGUCCAAUUGAGAUUUGUUCUUGCACUGGAAUGGGCUGGACCUGCUGAAUUUCUGGACUGAACUAACUGCGCUAGCUGAACUGGGCUUGCUGGUCUUGUGCUGAAUUCGGUGGCCCAAAGGACUGAAGCUCACGGGCUGGGCUUGCUGCAGGGCUUGUCUUCAGCUAGUUUGUUGGACUGAAGAUCACAUGUGCUGCUGAGCUGGGCCUGGCGACAGAAAGACGUGGGCCUAUCUUCGGUCUUCGUGGCUUCAAAUCAAGACUCCGUAGGCUUCGCUGGGCCAACGAACAGGCAGAAGAAGCAGCUUCGGCGUCCUGAUUCGUGGAGAUGGGCAAGCUGAAGGAGUCCGCACGGCUGAAGACUGAGCAGACGUGAGAGAUGUGCUGGCCGAGAGAAGCAAGGGGGGGUUGCGCGGCGUCUGCUGGCUUUGGUCUUCAGUUGCUCCGUUGAAGACAAGCCGAAGUAGAGAAUUCUUCGUGGGACUGCUGGUCGUGGAGACUUCGGUCAACAAACGGUGGAGGAGAGGGCACCUUUGACUGGAUCGUGUGCACGUGAGGUGGUUUAAAUCAACAGGGCUUCGGUGGAAUGAACUUCCGCAGCUACUGGACGCGUGGAGAUGGUCUUCAAGCGGUCAACAAGUCGAUUUUGCUGGACUCUUCCGUUGACCAGGCAUGGGGAUCUCGCUGGAACGAGCUGGAGAAUUUUCGAGCAGCUGCUGGCGGGGAGAUCUCAUUCGGUGGAAGCUGCACGCGGUCUCCGUUGCUGAAUGGUUGACCGAAGAUGAGGAUGAACGAACGCGUGGCAGCCUGCAGGGAUCUCGGUGGAGAAGAAGUUGACUGGAGGAGCAGCUUCGUGGGGACGUUGGCAGCUGCGGUUUCGGUGGAGGGAGGACGUGGCCUUUC